AUUGAACGCUGGCGGCAUGCCUUACACAUGCAAGUCGAACGGCAGCAUGAUCUCGCUUGCUAGAUUGAUGGCGAGUGGCGAACGGGUGAGUAAUACAUCGGAACGUGCCCUGUAGUGGGGGAUAACUAGUCGAAAGAUUAGCUAAUACCGCAUACGACCUGAGGGUGAAAGUGGGGGACCGCAAGGCCUCAUGCUAUAGGGGCGGCCGAUGUCUGAUUAGCUAGUUGGUGAGGUAAAGGCUCACCAAGGCGACGAUCAGUAGCUGGUCUGAGAGGACGAUCAGCCACACUGGGACUGAGACACGGCCCAGACUCCUACGGGAGGCAGCAGUGGGGAAUUUUGGACAAUGGGCGAAAGCCUGAUCCAGCAAUGCCGCGUGUGUGAAGAAGGCCUUCGGGUUGUAAAGCACUUUUGUCCGGAAAGAAAUGGAUCUGGUUAAUACCUGGGGUCGAUGACGGUACCGGAAGAAUAAGGACCGGCUAACUACGUG
This 490-nucleotide ribosomal RNA is filed under the name uncultured bacterium. RNAcentral describes it as "partial 16S ribosomal RNA". It matches the Rfam family "Bacterial small subunit ribosomal RNA", at positions 30 to 507 of the family's 1533-position model. The record is from RNAcentral.